GUAGUUUAAGUUGUGUGCAAGUGGUAGGAGAGCGUUCUAUUUGCGUCGAAGGUAUACCGGUAAGGAGUGCUGGAGCGAAUAGAAGUGAGCAUGCAGGCAUGAGUAGCGAUAAUUAAUGUGAGAAUCAUUAACGCCGUAAACCCAAGGUUUCCUACGCGAUGCUCGUCAUCGUAGGGUUAGUCGGGUCCUAAGUCGAGUCCGAAAGGGGUAGACGAUGGCAAAUUGGUUAAUAUUCCAAUACCAACAUUAGUGUGCGAUGGAAGGACGCUUAGGGCUAAGGGGGCUAGCGGAUGGAAGUGCUAGUCUAAGGUCGUAGGAGGUUAUACAGGCAAAUCCGUAUAACAAUACUCCGAGAACUGAAAGGCUUUUUGAAGUCUUCGGAUGGAUAGAAGAACCCCUGAUGCCGUCGAGCCAAGAAAAGUUUCUAAGUUUAGCUAAUGUUGCCCGUACCGUAAACCGACACAGGUGGGUGGGAUGAGUAUUCUAAGGCGCGUGGAAGAACUCUCUUUAAGGAACUCUGCAAAAUAGCACCGUAUCUUC
This 540-nucleotide ribosomal RNA is filed under the name Campylobacter jejuni. RNAcentral's name for it is "partial 23S ribosomal RNA". It matches the Rfam family "Bacterial large subunit ribosomal RNA", at positions 1210 to 1737 of the family's 2925-position model. The record is from RNAcentral. Lineage: Bacteria; Pseudomonadati; Campylobacterota; Epsilonproteobacteria; Campylobacterales; Campylobacteraceae.